ACGCCUUUUUAUUCACCAUAAAUACAGUGUGCACUGCCGAGCUAAAAUAAGCAUCUGUCCUCAAAUUCAAAUCUGAAGUGUCAUAAUACAGUCGGUUUCAACUCUUGCAUUUCGAUUAUAGCCAUCACAGCUGUAAACAUGUUUUCAUCUUGAGCACUUGCACAAUGGGAGUCAUGUAUUUAUAGACAUUUACAUAUCUAUCUACACUCAAUAUCUCUACAAAGCAUAGAAAAAAUAAAUCUCAUCACAUUUAUCCUUACAUUAUUUAUUACAUUAUGUAAAUGGUUGCUGACAGAGCAAAGGGGGCCGAGCCGUCCGUUUGUGGCAUUUUGGCUGCAUCUCAAAAGGAAAAACAUAAUUCUUUGCCUCUUGAGCAUCCGGGCAGCUUUCACUGCAGUUGGCUUACCGAGCGCAAAACCUCGUGCCCUCUCUUCAUGCUGUGGGACUGAGGGCAUCGACUGCAGCGUGAUGAAGCAAAAAUGAGAUGAGCAUUAUAACGACAGCCGUCAUCUGCAGGAAGGGGCAGACAUCCAUCCAAUCUGUCCUUUUUUUUUUAAGUAUACAAAGUAUUAUGGCUUCUGUCUGAUUUGAUUCUUCCCUCCUUUUGGAAAAAAAAAACAUCAGACAUCCAGUAGAAUGACCUUCACCAGCAAGCUUUUGUCUGAUUGGUUAAUAGGACUCCACAAAGAGAGAGGGAGGGAAAAUCGUUGCUGCGCAGGUUUUUUCUCUUCCUGAAUGAUCACAAAGGCUGAAGAUACAGCCUCGCUCUAUUCCACUCAGAGUUCACUUAUCUUUUUAGUGCCUUUCUUUACAGCGAAGCUUCGCCUCAUUUAGGCAUGCUGUUCACAUAGAGAGCACACAGACAGCAGUGACGGAAAUAUGUUACAUGAGGCACAUUUCAAGUUUUUUGGGAGUCAUCUUCUUCCUUUAUUAUGUACAUAACAGAUCCCAGCAGAAGGCAGCUGUGUAAUUAGUCACUUCAGGUUGUCUGGAGAGAUGGUUCUUUCCUCUCGCCGCCUUUUUUUUUUUCUCCUUUUUACUCAGGACACCUCAGAUUUGGGAUAAUUCAUAGCUCUAUCGCAAAAACAUCAGAUUCCAGAAUAUAAACUGCUUUAAAAUCUAAAAGAGAAUAGCUUUUGCAGUGGCUAAAUUCGACAGUGACGACGACAAAAGUAACUUCCAAAAGGUAAGAGUAUCCAAUACGAUGUGCCUAUGGGGCGGCCAUCUUAGCGGGGCAACGUUCCCAUUAAAGGAAUUAGAUGUACAUGGAAAAUAAAUCAUAUCUUGCUUAUUUACUCUUUCAACGUCAAAAGAUAUGCUAUUAAUAUAGAGCAUUCUUUGUCUUUUUAAUCAAAUGCUCUGUAUCAAAAGCACGUUUUGGCUUUAAUAAUGAAGUAAACAGCAUGAAAACCGGUUAGCAAGAUAUAAUUUAUUUUCAUUGCCUUUAAUGGGAAGAGUGCCCCCGCUAGCUUAGCCUCACUGUAGGCACACAGCUCAAAGGGACAUGUCCUAUCUACUAUUCAAUCUUUUUAUGCAACUAAGAAAAUAUUGUUUGGAGAAAUGAAAGGGGAAUAGUCUAAAAGAGCAGCUGUAAUACUGCUGUUUAGGCAAAAUAAUGAUAAAAAAUGUACAAUUAGAGAAUAAUCAGCUGGAGGAUAAGCUACUGUGUUAGCACCAAAACAAAGCAAAACAACACUGGAGGUUGGGUCAGGCUUCAGAGAGGAGAUUUAAGCCUCCGACAGUUUACUUUCAAUAAUAGAUGGGUCAGAUUAUUUAUUUAUUCACCUCUCCUCCCCUCUUCUCUCCUUUCCUCUGUCUCCCUCCAGUGCUUUCUACGCCUGAAAAAUGAGGCCAACUUGGCGGGAAGCGGGACGACACCAGCUCUAUUUUGGGGAGAGGAGGGAAAAAACAGAGAUGGACACUAUCGUCAUAUCCAGUCACACAGUAGACUCCUGCAGGUUACAUGUUGCAGACAGGGCGCAGUACUUCUUAACCUGCUAUGAUAUGGUCUCCUCUUCUCCCAACAGAUCAGGGAGCAGGUGUUUUCUGUCAGAGCGGACUUACAGUUAAAGGGUGUGGCUUCAGGGGGGUGGGGGUGGGGGGGCUACAGGAACCGGUAAAGCUUGAAAUGUUGUUGCUUUGAUGGGAAUCUCAAUCAAAACCACAUUUUUCCUUGAGAGAUAAUAUUAUAUUUGAAUUUCUUGUUUUGAGGGUCACCUGGUUUGACAUCUGCACAGACAAUGAGUCGUACUCCAGAGAGACCAGGUGGACAUAUUUCGACUCUAAAGGAAGUGACAAACACACAGGGUUGUUUCAGUGGUACAAAUCUGCUCAUGCAUUGUUCUUUGUUUUUGCCCUGUGCCCUUUCUGUCCUGAAAAUAACAGACCGAUACUCAAUGCUGUUCAGAAGAAUACAUAUCCCCAAGUUAUGAAGCCACUGUUUCAUCUUUUUGUCUUAUUGAUUUCAGCCUGCGUGGCGCCUUAGAGGAAGGAUGAAAGCUGGUGAAGGAAAGCUGCUCAGGGCUCAGGGUUCAGGAGUCAGGGGAUGUCAGGAGAGGAUCUGUGGCUAAAACCGACGUGUAAAACCUCGCAGAAAAGAAGGGAUUUUCCUCUCCGUCCCAUAAGAGGCCUAAUCUAUUUCUAUUCCUUUGGCCUCAGGAAGGCUGAAUAGUAAAAAUCUAUUAUCUUGAAUCUGAAAUUUAAGGCCUAUAGCGAUACUCAUUGUUUAAUCUUCUUUCUAGGG
Xyrichtys novacula (pearly razorfish) is the source of this 2743-nucleotide non-coding RNA. NCBI's taxonomy places the organism in Eukaryota, Metazoa, Chordata, Actinopteri, Labriformes, Labridae. The record is from the annotation of a GenBank genome assembly.